Molecule: long non-coding RNA, 1313 nt
Organism: Acipenser ruthenus (sterlet)
Lineage: Eukaryota; Metazoa; Chordata; Actinopteri; Acipenseriformes; Acipenseridae
Exons: 2
Source: RefSeq, a predicted model, not a curated record
CCCAAAAUGUUAUGGUGGGCGUAAUGAACCAAGGACAGGAGGAGGAGCUAAGAAACUACGUCACAGAGGAUGGAUAUAAGCUUCUUUGAAGCGUAAAGUAAGUACUCUAGCAGGAAGAACGAAAUUCAGCAGAGUUAAUAUAUUACACUAUUUACAUUUUAAACCGUCAAAGCAAAGCGAUUCUUCAGUUCAGCAAAGGAACAAGUUGUGCUUAUCUACUUCUUACCGGGUUACAUUUGUCCCGGAUUGAAUAAUUAUUACAAAAACACUACGUGAUAGAAACACUCUCCCUUGGACUAACAGUUAAACAUUGUCUCCAAAAAUGAACGGAGUCCUGAAAAUCUAUGUGUUUGGAACCAUAGUGUCACUGGCAGCUGUAUUCAUCGGACUGGUGGAUUCCUUAGGCAGUUUGAUGCAUCUUCAGAAACUUGAACUCCAGGAGCCUGAAUAUGCAUGGACUGGAUACCAGCAUUACCCCUGCACAGCAAAUCUGCUGCAACAGGGGUCCCUCCGAACCAAUAAAGCUGUGGGGUCAUAAACAAGUACAUUGACAUUUGUAACCUUAACCGCGUGCUGUUUACAUUUUUUUAUUAUUAUUUCUUUGUUGAAGUACAUUUUAAUAGAAAAGAAAACAAAUCAUUAUUGGUACACAUAUCUGCACUAUUUUAUAUGAACAACAAAGAAACAACACCCGUGUAUAAGCUGAAAAAAAUGUUACUUGAAUAACUCUUGUUAUAAAAGGUGUUUUAGAUGUAAAAUGUACCGUUAUUGUUACAGUGAACCCUAAAGAGAAAAAUGCACUAGUACUAAUGAAAAUAAUAUGAUGCUGUGUUCAUAAUCCCCCACCAACCAGAGGGAUGCAUAUCUCCUGGCAACCUAGGGAUAGUACCGUGGAGGUGCCUGUACAUCUUAAUUAAAUAUUUAGUUGAUUAAACCUUGUACUAGACAUUCCUUAGUUCUUAGUGUCAACUGUAUGAAACUAACAUCUGCUUGUCUGAGCUGAUUGAAAGGGUAUAUCUUGGGAUCCGAUUGGUGCUAGCUCAAAUACUUCAAAAUGAAACUUUGCAUGUACAUUUAUUAUGACUGUAUUGAGUACCUUGCUUGCCUGUUUCAUGUUUAUAGAUUUAGGGCACGGUGACCACUUUUUCAAUGUUUUUUACAUUGUAUCCUUACAUACCUUUCCUCGUACAUGUAUCACAAUACCAAGACAAUAUUAUGCUUUCUGUCAGUAGUUGGAAUGUAUGGAGGCUGUAUGUGGAAAUAGGAUUGUGUUGGUUGUAAUAUGCACUAUAUUAAAAAGACAAGUUAUUUAA